UACAGCGACUGCGAAUGGCUCAUUAUAUAAGUUAUCGUUUAUUUGAUAGUACCUUACUACUUGGAUAACCGUGGUAAUUCUAGAGCUAAUACAUGCUAAAAAUCCCGACUUCGGAAGGGAUGUAUUUAUUAGAUUAAAAACCAAUGCCCUCUGGGCUCCUUGGUGAUUCAUGAUAACUCUUCGAAUCGCACGGCCUUGCGCCGGCGAUGGUUCAUUCAAAUUUCUUCCCUAUCAACUUUCGAUGUUUGGGUAUUGGCCAAACAUGGUUGCAACGGGUAACGGAGGGUUAGGGCUCGACCCCGGAGAAGGAGCCUGAGAAACGGCUACUACAUCCAAGGAAGGCAGCAGGCGCGCAAAUUACCCAAUCCCGAUUCGGGGAGGUAGUGACAAUAAAUACUGAUACAGGGCUCUUUUGGGUCUUGUAAUUGGAAUGAGUACAAUUUAAAUCCCUUAACGAGGAACAAUUGGAGGGCAAGUCUGGUGCCAGCAGCCGCGGUAAUUCCAGCUCCAAUAGCGUAUAUUAAAGUUGUUGUGGUUAAAAAGCUCGUAGUUGAACCUUGGGCCUGGCUGGCCGGUCCGCCUCACCGCGUGCACUGGUCCGGCCGGGCCUUUCCCUCUGUGGAACCCCAUGCCCUUCACUGGGCGUGGCGGGGAAACAGGACGUUUACUUUGAAAAAAUUAGAGUGCUCCAGGCAGGCCUAUGCUCGAAUACAUUAGCAUGGAAUAAUGAAAUAGGACGCGUGGUUCUAUUUUGUUGGUUUCUAGGACCGCCGUAAUGAUUAAUAGGGACAGUCGGGGGCAUCAGUAUUCAAUUGUCAGAGGUGAAAUUCUUGGAUUUAUUGAAGACUAACUACUGCGAAAGCAUUUGCCAAGGAUGUUUUCAUUAAUCAGGAACGAAAGUUAGGGGAUCGAAGACGAUCAGAUACCGUCGUAGUCUUAACCAUAAACUAUGCCGACUAGGGAUCGGACGAUGUUAUUUUUUGACGCGUUCGGCACCUUACGAGAAAUCAAAGUGCUUGGGCUCAGGGGGAGUAUGUCGCAAGCUGAACUUAAAGAAUGACGAGCACACAGGGUAA
RNAcentral lists this ribosomal RNA (1076 nucleotides) under Cordyceps tenuipes. Its description in RNAcentral is "SSU rRNA". It matches the Rfam family "Eukaryotic small subunit ribosomal RNA", at positions 79 to 1177 of the family's 1831-position model. Lineage: Eukaryota; Fungi; Ascomycota; Sordariomycetes; Hypocreales; Cordycipitaceae. The record is from RNAcentral.